CUCGGAGAUGUGUAUAAGAGACAGGGGCUCAAGCACGGAACCGAAGCUAUGGCAUGAUAGCAAUAUCAUGGGUAGGGGAGCGUUCUUAUAAGGAAGAAGCAUGACCGGAAGGACAUGUGGACAAAUAAGAAGUGAGAAUGCCGGUAUGAGUAUCGAAAAGAAAGGUGAGAAUCCUUUCCACCGAAAGCCCGAGGGUUCCUGAGCAACGAUCGUCGACUCAGGGUAAGUCGGGACCUAAGCCGAGGCGAGAAGCGUAGGCGAUGGACAACAGGUUGAAAUUCCUGUACCGGAUCAAGUCGAUCGAGCGAAGGAGCGACGCAGGAGGGCACAUGAUCGCGCGGCUGGAAGAGCGCGUCCAAGUGCGUAUGUUGCCGCAGAGGAAAACCCCUGCAGCUAAAAGCAGAGACAUGAAGGGGAGUUAAAGGAAACUUUGACGAACUCAUGGAUCCCACACUGCCAAGAAAAACUUCUAGCGAGACAAGAUCCGCCCGUACCGUAAACCGACACAGGUAGGCGGGGAGAGAAUCCUAAGGUGCGCGGGAAAACCCUCGUUAAGGAACUCGGCAAAUUGCAUCCGUAACCUAGGGAGAAGGAUGGCCCCCGGUCAGUGAAGAGCAGAAACGCUCAGAGCUAAAAGGGGCGGCAGAAAAGAGGCCCAAGCAACUGUUUACCAAAAACACAGGUGCCUGCGAAAGCGAAAGCUGAAGUAUAGGUGCUGACGCCUGCCCGGUGCCGGAAGGUUAAGGAGAGAAGUUAGCGAAAGCGAAGCAUCGAACUGAAGCCCCGGUGAACGGCGGCCGUAACUAUAACGGUCCUAAGGUAGCGAAAUUCCUUGUCGGGUAAGUUCCGACCCGCAUGAAAGGCGUAAUGAUUUGGGCACUGUCUCAACGAGGGGCCCGGUGAAAUUGAAAUACCUGUGAAGAUGCAGGUUACCCGCGACUGGACAGAAAGACCCCAUGGAGCUUCACUGCAGCUUGAGAUUGAAUCCCGGUGACAGAUGCACAGGAUAGGUGGGAGGCGCCGAAGCAUUGCCCUAGGGCGGUGCGGAGCCGAUGUUGGGAUACCACCCUUCUGUUGCUGAGAUUCUAACGCGAGGAGUAACGACCCUGCGGACCCUCUCAGGCAGGCGGUUUGACUGGGGCGGUCGCCUCCGAAAGAGUAACGGAGGCGCCCAAAGGUUCCCUCAGGCCGGACAGAAACCGGCCGAAGAGUGCAAAGGCAGAAGGGAGCUUGACUGCGAGACCAACAAGUCGAGCAGAGACGAAAGUCGGGCUUAGUGAUCCGGUGGUACUGAGUGGAAAGGCCAUCGCUCAACGGAUAAAAGCUACCCUGGGGAUAACAGGCUAAUCUCUCCCAAGAGUUCAUAUCGACGGGGAGGUUUGGCACCUCGAUGUCGGCUCAUCACAUCCUGGGGCUGGAGUAGGUC
Molecule: ribosomal RNA, 1426 nt
Filed under: human gut metagenome
Description: bacterial LSU rRNA
Rfam family: Bacterial large subunit ribosomal RNA
Source: RNAcentral